This 154-nucleotide ribosomal RNA is filed under the name Russula virescens. RNAcentral's name for it is "5.8S ribosomal RNA". It matches the Rfam family "5.8S ribosomal RNA". Rfam says of the family: 5.8S ribosomal RNA (5.8S rRNA) is a component of the large subunit of the eukaryotic ribosome. Lineage: Eukaryota; Fungi; Basidiomycota; Agaricomycetes; Russulales; Russulaceae. The record is from RNAcentral.
CAACUUUCAACAACGGAUCUCUUGGCUCUCGCAUCGAUGAAGAACGCAGCGAAAUGCGAUACGUAAUGUGAAUUGCAGAAUUCAGUGAAUCAUCGAAUCUUUGAACGCACCUUGCGCCCCUUGGUAUUCCGAGAGGCACACCCGUUUGAGUGUC